This 3541-nucleotide long non-coding RNA is filed under the name Paramuricea clavata. The record is from RNAcentral. Lineage: Eukaryota; Metazoa; Cnidaria; Anthozoa; Malacalcyonacea; Plexauridae.
GGUGUGGGGGCCCUGUUGACUGUUAUUGUUUGACUGAGAUCUAAAAUUUAAAUUGAAUAUUUAUCAGUAGAAUAUGGAAAAUUCUGUGUCUAUAACAAUGAUAAUAACAGUCUCCAACACAUGUAACAACUUUUAAGAAUAACUUUUGUUCUAUUUGAGAUGGAAUACCGUCGUCGAUGGAGCAUUUAUUAUUUAGCAUUAUUAAUUUUGUAUUUUUCCAUCGAUUCGUAAUUACCUGCAUUUUUUACGUUUUACGUCUAAUUUUCUGGGUGAUAGACUGUGGCUGAUGGGUGGCCCUAACUGUUGGGGGCCCUCAGUUUUUGAACUAAUCCUACCUAGUGAGCGUUACGCCACUGAGGGGGGCAGUGAGUGAGAAGAGGGGGGCGGGGCAGCUUCAACUAUUUUUUCCUGAAUUGGGGGUGUCCUCAAAAUAUGUGACAAGGGGUGACCCCAAAUUUUUAAUACUUUCCUACUCAUUUUCAAUCUAUUGCCUUUAUCGUAUCCCACAAAAUAUCCCACCUUUUUUAGUUCCUAUAAUCGUAGUUUCCAUAGUUUAUUACGUAUAUACAGUUCACGAUAGGAGUCAGAGUAAAUAACAACCAUUUCGAAUACUGGUCCUCUUAUUAUUUAGGCUACACAAUAUCGUAACACCAGUACUUGUCCCAUUACCUAUUUUACACCAACUAAGUAACAAUUAAAUGUUGGAGGGGGGUCCUAAAUGUUCUAAAUGAAGGUGGGGGCAUCUUGAAAAUAAAGGUCUUGCGAUUGGGGCGGCUCUAAAGAAUGUUUAUUAUUUGGUAUCUAUCACCCACCGCCCCCCGCCCCCUCCCUCCUCCCAUUAUUAAUGAGUGGUCCCUUAUGAAAGGUUUUUAUCCAGUGAGUUUUACUAUAUAUUCUAAAGCACAUGCAUCUUUCGUCCUUUAUAAAGACAUACUAUAUUAUUAUAUGAGUAUAGUACUGCAGUAAAUCGAUAAAGGUUUUAUGUAUGCAUAAUUUGGAUCUUUCAUAAAUAUUUCACACACGGUAUUCGUAUGAAUAUUUAUAAGACAAAUUUACAUAUUGAAAUUAGUUCACUUACCAAAAAGUGCGUUUAAUUUGAUACAUCUCCAACCACUACUUGUUUUUAUUUUGUAAUCUUCAAAUAUUUCUCAAGCAUUUCUGCUUGUGAAGCGCAAACAAGCACACGGUCACUAUCGCUAUACUCUUCGAUGGAAGCCAUAUUGCUUUGGUUUCGCGCGUUUUUUUCCAAUUUCGCGCACUAAUUUAUUUGAAUUUUAAAUAUGGAAUACCGCUGACUCGUAUGUAUUGCAGUUUCAGAUAUGUGCGUAUCUUGUCUAUGAUCUAGUGCCGACCGUCAAGCAAGUGAAGCCAAAAACAUGGCGGAUUUUCAAGGAUUUUCACGUUUGCUGACGCCAGAAUGACGCCACUGGUCCCAAAUCCUCGUGGUAAUUACCACUGAGCAAGGCUCAUUUUGAGCCCGCUACCACUUUCUCAUCCCCCUGAUUUUCACAAAAAUAUUUUAGCUUUUUGUUUUGAAGUUUGCCUCGGUGUUUGCCUUCUCUUCGACAUUUUAACAUUUGUUUCGAGUUGCACAAGUGGUAAGAAUCAUCCUGGCUAGUGAAAGACAGGGAACGAAUCUUCAAACCUCAAGAAAUUUUGGAAAGACGUUAUUUUUAUAAAAGGUAAAAAAAUACUGUUUAUAUGUUCAAUAUUAAUUUGUGAUAGAGUAUGUCAAAACAAAGCGAAAUAAACAGCCCAUUUGUACUGUGUAGUGGACAAUUUUAGCAACUGAUGUAUACAAUUAAGUUGCCCAAACUAUAUUAAUACGAGAAACAGUCUUCCUCGAAAGAAAAUGGUUGAAAUUUCAGAUUUUAGUUUCAUUUGUUAUUUCAAAUUUUACGAUAUAAAAUGCCAGUCGACCACCAUCUGCUUGACUGCUUCAUGAUCAUACUUAUUAAAAUUAAAGUGGUUUCUAUUAUAUUAGUAUACUUAUAGAGGAAGACCUUUUUAAGCCAGAACUAUCAUGGCUUGGCUUUGAAUGAUUUAAUCUAUAUACUUUAUAACUGGCCACUGAUGGCAAUGAAAUUAUAAUGACUAAUGUGUAGAAUUAUCAAGUCUAGAUCCAACAAUUGGCAGUUUCAUAUAUAAGAUCAGGCAUAUAUAAGAUCAAAGCUAGUUUCAUAUAUAAGAUCAGGUUUAGAGGCCUGUAGCAUUUUCUCUAGAAAUUGCAUGAGUAAAAUUAAUUUCAUAAUUAACCCGUUGAGCCGCAAUGCUCCCUAUUUAUUUUUUUACUUGCCAGAUGAUUUUACUUGUCAAUGGGGAAGCUCUGUAGCUUAUCGGUUAACCAAAAAAAAACUAACAAUGUCUCUAGUUAACCUAUUGAGCCGCAAUGCGCCCCAGUGUGCCCUACUUUUUUUUUACUUUCUAAAGCCACACAAUAUCACUCGUCAAUGGGGAAGCUCUGCAGCUUAGAUGAUAUUUGAUGUUGGUAAUUCAUGUAUUUUUGGAGGAAAAUAUUUUAGACAGUGGUUGUUUGCCUGACACCAAACCCCAAUAUUUACAUGCUAUUUGUCUAAGUGAACUAUUUUCCUCAUUCUUUCAACAUGCCAAAGUGAUACAAAAUAAAUUUCAGUUGAAUUCAAGCAAGUCCUCGGUCCGUAAGUUGUCAACUGACGACUAUCACCUUCAUUGUUAGUUAAGUAUAUAUCUGCUUAAGUCCUGGGUUCAAAUGAGUGGAAUUUCAAGAGCAUUCUGACUGGCUUUGUGCAAACAGGGGGCCUUACCGGUUAGGAUGAAGGCCAGUUGAGGUGUUAGGGUUGGGUGCAGGCAAGGUUCAUGUAAACUUAUUGUUAGCAAGAAUCAGAGAAGGAUUUUCAUAUUUUUGUUCGGGGGGGGAUAAAUAUCUGGGGGGGGGGUGAUGCUGCUUGCUUUGGCCGGGGCCUGGUGGCAACACCUGGAAAGGCCAAGGAAAAAGUUUGGGACAAAAUUUGUUUUCUAUGUCUGCAUAGCAAGAUCUGAGACCAUAAUAUUGGUAAUUUUACAAAUUUAGUAGUAAGAAUAAUCAAAUAUGAAACUAUCAAAUCAAAAUAUAUAUAAUUUGUGGGGGUGCAAAAACUUUGGGGGGCAGUGCCAAAUGCCUCUUGGGGGGGGGGGGGGUUUGCAAAUAAUUUCUGUGGUACACCCCCCCCCCCCAGAAAAUCUGUGCCUGGCAAGAAUGUUAUGUGUACAUAAUCAUGUGUAAUGUUGUUUGGAUUAAUUGCAUUUAAACGUUGGAAUCCAGUGUCGAACAAUAACCACAACAAUUAUAAUAUAAAGUAUUUGGUUGUUUUAGUGUAAUAUUAAUUUCUCAUAUAUUUUUUUUAGAAAUAAAGCACCAUUGAGCAACUUGUUGGGAAAGAGGAGUCACAAACUGUUGAUGAAUAUAUUUAAUUAACUACACAUAAAAUACAAUUUUAUUAACAGUAUAUUGAUUUAUGGGUUUAUUAGACCACAUUAUUUUCAUAUUAUUAAUAAUUAAAAAUAAAAUUAACAAAUAAAUUAC